GGGCCCAUCGCUCAAUUGGCUAUAGCGCCUGCCCUGCACGCAGGAGGUUGAGGAAUCGUGCUCCUCUGGGUACA
This 74-nucleotide transfer RNA is filed under the name Bacteroidales bacterium. RNAcentral describes it as "tRNA-Ala". It matches the Rfam family "tRNA". Rfam says of the family: Transfer RNA (tRNA) molecules are approximately 80 nucleotides in length. Their secondary structure includes four short double-helical elements and three loops (D, anti-codon, and T loops). Further hydrogen bonds mediate the characteristic L-shaped molecular structure. tRNAs have two regions of fundamental functional importance: the anti-codon, which is responsible for specific mRNA codon recognition, and the 3' end, to which the tRNAs corresponding amino acid is attached (by aminoacyl-tRNA synthetases). tRNAs cope with the degeneracy of the genetic code in two manners: having more than one tRNA (with a specific anti-codon) for a particular amino acid; and 'wobble' base-pairing, i.e. permitting non-standard base-pairing at the 3rd anti-codon position. The record is from RNAcentral. Lineage: Bacteria; Pseudomonadati; Bacteroidota; Bacteroidia; Bacteroidales.